UACGUAGGUGGCGAGCGUUGUCCGGAUUUACUGGGCGUAAAGCGCGCGUAGGCGGCUUUCUAAGUCCUGUCGUGAAAGGUCGCGGCCCAACUGCGACAGUGCGCGGGAUACUGGGGAGCUUGAGGGCAGCAGAGGCCGGUGGAAUUCCCGGUGGAGUGGUGAAAUGCGUAGAUAUCGGGAGGAACACCAGAGGCGAAGGCGGCCGGCUGGGCUGUACCUGACGCUGAGGCGCGAAAGCGUGGGGAGCGAACCGG
This 254-nucleotide ribosomal RNA is filed under the name uncultured bacterium. Its description in RNAcentral is "partial 16S ribosomal RNA". It matches the Rfam family "Bacterial small subunit ribosomal RNA", at positions 524 to 776 of the family's 1533-position model. The record is from RNAcentral.